Molecule: ribosomal RNA, 494 nt
Filed under: uncultured bacterium
Lineage: Bacteria
Description: bacterial SSU rRNA
Rfam family: Bacterial small subunit ribosomal RNA
Source: RNAcentral
GAUGAACGCUAGCGGCAGGCUUAACACAUGCAAGUCGAGGGGCAGCAUGAGACGGAGAUUCGUCGAAGUCUUGAUGGCGACCGGCGCAAGGGUGCGUAACGCGUGAGCAACUUGCCCGUUUCUGGGGGAAUAACCGGUGGAAACGCCGACUAAUACCCCAUAGUAUUGACUUUGGGCAUCCUUAGUCAAUUAAAGAAAUUCGGUGACGGAUGAGGAUGCGUACGAUUAGCUAGUUGGCGGGGUAACGGCCCACCAAGGCUACGAUCGUUAGGGGUUCUGAGAGGAAGGUCCCCCACACUGGAACUGAGACACGGUCCAGACUCCUACGGGAGGCAGCAGUGAGGAAUAUUGGUCAAUGGGCGGGAGCCUGAACCAGCCAAGUAGCGUGAAGGAUGACUGCCCUACGGGUUGUAAACUUCUUUUGUUUGGGAAUAAAAGACGCUACGUGUAGCGUUCUGCAUGUACCUUACGAAUAAGCAUCGGCUAAUUCCGUG